AUUAGGAUGGCCGAUAANNUAGGCAAUAAACUGUAAAUUUAUUUAUGAAAAANAUAUUUCUCCUAAUA
RNAcentral lists this transfer RNA (68 nucleotides) under Kikihia ochrina. RNAcentral describes it as "tRNA-Tyr". The record is from RNAcentral. Lineage: Eukaryota; Metazoa; Arthropoda; Insecta; Hemiptera; Cicadidae.